CAGGGAAUAGUUUAUUUAAAAUAUUAAAUUUGGGUUUUAGAGAUGGAAAUGUUUCCUUUUCCUGA
RNAcentral lists this transfer RNA (65 nucleotides) under Eucriotettix oculatus. RNAcentral describes it as "tRNA-Pro". The record is from RNAcentral. Lineage: Eukaryota; Metazoa; Arthropoda; Insecta; Orthoptera; Tetrigidae.